ACUGCAACAAAAAGAAUGAAUAUUAUGCGACAUAAGCUUGAAGGUACGAUUUUAUUCAUUGAACAAAAACAUGAAAUACUGCAAGCCCUGCAAACGGUGGACAAAGGUGGUGAAUGUAUUAUACGGUUCUUCCUUUUCGAGGUCACCUAUCGCUCGUGCCACACCACCUGCCGGUUAAUACAGCCGAGCUUACCACCGUACUCAUUUGAUCUUAAUGUUUAUUUUGUAACGGAAGAUAAUGAUUCCCAUAUACAGCAUGAUGUAACAUUAAUAGCGCUCCUUUGUGAAAACGAGAUGUUAAAUGGAAAUUGUGCAUCAAACCGAUAACUGCACAAAGAACAAUAUUUUAUUCAAUACUGAAAAAACUCUUUCAUAUUAGUUCCUGUGAAUAAUGUGACAUCAUAAUAUGAGAAAUUACAUUGAUUCCUUUAUUGCAAUUGUUUGAAAGUAGACACAAUUCAGAUAUAGUAGAAAUAUAGCGAAAUAGAAUAAUAUAGGUAUUAUUUGACUAAUAAAAUGAGGUCAUCUGAUUCGUAAUAAUCCCGAGACCAAGCCACAUGCAACUGCCUGCCAUGGGUCACGUUAACGCGAGGUACCCGACGGCCAGGUGUUCCACAACGUACGCCGAUUUUGUGUGUCGUCAUGGCCGACAGACACCCCAAGUCCUGUGUUUGGCACAUGACUGGCGGCAAUACGUUUUGCCCCGUUUAUGUAGGUCAAGCUAUGCACGGGAUUAUAACAUUCAGGGCCGUAACAGUCAAAAGAACCGUCAGUUAUUUUGUUACAGCAGAGAAUUGCUAAACCGUAUCAAUUAAGAUAUCUUAUGUUACAUUUCCUAUUUGCCACCAAGUUUUACACAAAUUUAUAUGAAAAAUUGUAACUUAAUGUUAAAGCUUAUUACAUGUUUAACUUUGUGCCAAAAACUAAUUUGUGAUAAGUCUUUUUAAACGUAGUAUAAUAUAGUAUAAAAAGUAUGAUUUAAACAACCAGUUUUCUAAAUCGUAUUUUAAACCUCGUUCUUUAAAAAUAGUAAAUUUGCAAAUAAAAAUAAUAAGAAGAAAUAUGGUUUAGAAAAGGAAUUAUUUAAUAAUACAUAUUUUAUAUUAAUAAAAAAUUGGAAAAGAUACCCAAUAUUACAACAAACGUGAUAAGCAUGAGUUCUCAUUCAUUUCACAUAUCUAAUGUUAAAUCUCGCUGAAACUCAUUGUCAGUAACAAUAACACAUUAAUGAGGUACAAUUGAGGUAUACAGUACAUACUUAGCAACUAUACAUACAUUAGACCGGUGCAUAAGUUCCUGCCGAUGGGGCGAUGAAUGGAUCACUUCAAUCGAUGACUCCUUCUUUCGAUGUGAUUCGCAAAUUGCUGAAAAAUAAGAAAAAGUAGAAAACGAUGGAAAAUACUUUCAUUGAUUUAUGAUCGAUUGUUUCAUUUCAAUGAAAAAAAAUUGCAAAAUCGAUAAGAACUUAUGCAACCUAAUGAUAUAGAAGAGUCAAUUAAUAAGUGAAGAGACAAACGGUUAUAGUUUCAAAACAGUUUAUUCAAUCACUGUAACAAUUUAGCUACUUCUUAACAUAAUCUCCUUCAACAGUUAUACAAUACAUUUAUCAUGUAAAACUUUGAAACUACCAAACUAUAAAUAGUUUGCAUCAAAGACGAGUUAUGACGAGGAGAUGUAAAUCAUUAUUAAUGUCGAUUAAUCGUGCUCGCUAAUGGUGAUAAUAGUGCAAAGAUGUUCCGAUGUGAGGAAAGAACUUUACGAAUUUUAUCUCCGUGGGCACGAGCCUGACAUAACGAAAUGCGGUUUAUUCAAGCAGGUGUGGCGAGUAACGAAGCACCCGCUGCCGAAACAGCCAAACCACCUGUCCAUUUUUAUCAAACAUAUUAUACACAUUACAUUCACACUUCGGGGCAGCAUGACCGCUGCUCCACGUGCAGGAAGACAGCAAGUAGCUCACGUGCUUGAAAAGCUGAGACCGGUGUGUCUUUGAACAUCUUCCACUUACUGGCGUAACGGUGCGACCCCUUUUGCAAGGUCUUUCUACCUUCUGCGUUGCGACUUGUCAAGGUAAAGUAAAGAAGAGAAAUCGUCCUUCGUAUUUGAAGUGAACCGAUGGACCCAUUGAUGGUUUUAUAUAGGCGAUGAACGACCCUUUUAUCGAGCAGGUGUUGCCUUCUUCCGAUAAUCGCAGGUUUAACAGCUACACACGAUGACAAAGGGGUACGCUUUAAAACGUGAUUAUUGCGUUCAUUGUGAGAAAAGUUACCUGCUACGGCUUCUACAGGCUACAUGGUAAAGCGUUUUAAGAACCCUGCUAUUGUCGAAGCUUUCUGGGCCCGAGAUAGGCCAUCGUCGACAUGUUUGUCCGUGCGUGCUAACCGGCAUCCAGCGUGCAUGACACUGACACCCCGAUCGUUUAAUUUAAUUAGCUGCCGACAAAUAUGUUCAUUAACAUGAAACUAUCAACGGUUAAAAAUUGUAAUAUUAAUUGCAGUCUCGCUAUGUGACCUUUCUGAUACCAUCGUCAAUGAAACUGUGUCAAGGUUCUCUCUAAUAUAUUUAUUAUUACAUAUUCAUGUCAUCAAGAUUGUUGCACGCGAUGUCGAGACAAUAAUCAAAUUUUAAUGCUCGAAGUAUGUAUUUUGGCUGUACUGAUCUCAUUAGAAUGAGGGACAAAACGCAUCCAGCUGUGAAUCCAUCUUUGCAAUUUUAUUUUGUAAUUUAAGUUUAGUGACGAAUUGUACAUAGAUAUGAGCGUCCUUUUCAUUUCCAAUUUUUUAUUUCGAAUAUAUGCUGUUUUUUUAGAUAAAAGUAGAACACAGACAAACUAAGGAUAAUAGAAGAUAUCUUUAGUUAACCCCGGACUACCGGACUACCGGAAAUUGGAUAUUGACCUCGCUUGACAUCGAUCUCUAUUUCGCGACGUCCUGCUGAAUGAUACGAUGAGUAAUAUGAUGAAUGACUAAGAUUUCUUCUUCCUACUUCCACUGCUCUAUGAGUGAUUUCAUCGCAGCGAUCUAUUAUAUAGUUGAUAAUUGAAUCUCAUACAACAUAUCCGAUUGCAUUAUGAAAGAAUUUAUAAAUAAUUUGUAAUAUUUAAUCUAAUGCAAUAAAAAUAAACUACACCUGGGUCUCUUUUUAUACGGUGGAUGCUCUUAAUUUCCUUUGGAAUCAUGCAGUUCAUUCAACAUUGGGAUUAUUUGCAAUGAUUUUCGUGACAUUUUCCACGAACCGUGUAAAAGUAAGUAAAACGUAUCAAAAAAACGUGUAAAUGCAAAUAAAACGUGUUACAAAAACAGUGUAACUGUGAAUUGUGUAAAAAAAGGAGAGAUGAUGAAAAAGUGCAAAAUGUCCUAUACGUUGCUGUUGAUCCUCACGGUGUUUUCUCUCUCUGAUUGGUUGGCCGCCAUGUAACAUUCGUCAUGUAGUUAUUCAAAUUUGGUAUUCAGUUGGUAUUAAGUUGAAAUGAGUCGCUGUAUAAAUUAAAUAAAUAUUGUCCAUUAUAGAAUAAAGGUCUAGUUAAAUUAAUUGUGGAAUCAGGAUUAAUCGAAACGCAAGAGUACAAAUAACUUACAUGGAACAGGAAAGGAGGUAAAAAUAAAGAAAGAAAUUAUAUAAUUAUAUAAUUAUUUAUUAUAUAUUAUUUCUUUAUUUAUUUUAACCUCCUUUCCUAUUCCAUCCCAAUAUAAAAAUAUCUCGAUAUGAUUGUGCGUUCAUAAUUAGAUUCGUCAAGUUUCAACAAGAUACCAUAAAAGUAAGUUGUAUCAAUUAAAUGCUGUAGUAGUUCCUUACGACUUACAAGGACGCGUGAGGUCAGUAUGCGUGGGUUGUUGCACCGGGUAGGAUGUCGGAUCGAUACAGCUUGCACCGGGGUACACAACCCAGCUAGCAACGACCCGCCAUCGCGUCCCACCUCCUUAUCCAUAGCAACAGACAGCUAUUUACGCGUGUCGAGUUAAACCGUCACACGUGUGACAUUUUCCGAUUAAAUAGUGGCCGCGUGAUUAGCACAGUCCACCCCAUAUUCUCAGAAAAACGCUUGAAAGAUUUACGACAGCCGGCAUGUAAAUUGUGAAUUGAAUUGAAUACAUCUUCCAAUUAUUACAAAAACUUUUCAAACACCUGCUUGCAUAAAAAUCUAGAAAGACAUAAGUAUCCAAGUUCUUAUUUCCACAUUAAAAAAAUCUAUUAAAAUAAUCUAUAUAUAAAAAAAUCAGACCUUGCACAGAUACGUCAUGAAUAAUAAGAAAAAAUGUUUUUCCUAUAAUAAAGAGUUUCGAAAAAAGAAGUGCAGAACAACAAAAGCACAGCGGCAAAUGGCAUUUCAUUAAUUAAACUGUAACCGCGACGAGACAGUUAAAUCUUCAACUAUUCGGAAAUCUCCACUAGAUGGAACAGCGAUUUGACCUUUCGGGAAACUUGGUUAACUGGAGUCAGGUUGGAAGUGGGUGUCAUUGUGGAUGGAAACGCAAGUCACAACCGAGAAAUUAGUUGAGGAUCAAAGGAAUCAGAAUGUACUCCAGCACUUUCAAGAGAGAAGUUUUGCGAAAAAUAAUGUCAAAUAUUUCUUCUUUAGCUGAAACAUAACGCAGCAUUUUAUCGUAACAUUUUGAUAUCAAACAUCUUUAACGAUUAGGCUUAUGCGGGAUAUAAGAAGAUGACGGAAAGAAAAAAGAGAACGAAAAUAAAACGAGUCAGAAUCGACCUUGACUUGAGGACCAAAGUUUACCAAGAGGGUGGCGAGAUCCUUAAUGGUAUACGGGUAGGGGGGAAGCUAAGAUAACGCGAAUGCGUAUCAGAGGGAGGGGUCAUUUUCACAGCUAGUGACCUCUAAAUUUCCCAAGAGCGCACACGUGUCUACGGUAUCUUCCCCCGCGCCUAUUUCUUCUCAAGGACGAAGCAUUCGCUAUCCUAACUAUAAUCAUUUUACGAACAAAUCUCGAGAUUGAAAUCAGAAAAUUAUUGGCAUGAGAAAGAGGACGGAUUAUCUAACCUUUGCAAUCUUUACCCUUGCUGAUUUAUGAACUAUUUGAACAAAAGAUGUAAUUGAUUAUAAACUUUAAAUAUAGUUUACAAUGAAACAAUGCAACUUAUAAAUAUUAUAAAUAUAAAAUUAUAUAACUUA
RNAcentral lists this long non-coding RNA (5125 nucleotides) under Ooceraea biroi (clonal raider ant). RNAcentral describes it as "uncharacterized LOC109610812, transcript variant X1". The record is from RNAcentral. Lineage: Eukaryota; Metazoa; Arthropoda; Insecta; Hymenoptera; Formicidae.